UCCUUGGCCGAGCAAGCGGGGCCUUCCCCUCAUUCACUAGGAUCCUUCCUGAUUCAGGGGGCUGGCCAGAGGACCCUGCAGGCCUGACCCAGUGGGACCCUUUUCCCCAGCCUCCCACAAGACCUGGGCCAGGGGCCAUAGAGAGAAUUCUUCAGUCCCUGGCACCCUGAGAGCAUCUGUGUUGCACAACCCAGGGGCCUUAUGGCAAGGCCCACUCCUGCCCCUUCUAGCUGCAAAGCCUGGGAACAUGGUCCUGUGGUGGGCCUGCAGAUUGGAGGGAGGACCCCCAAUGAAGGUGAGGUCACCAAGCACCAGGGUUGUGUGAGUGCUGGGCCACGCCCCCCCCCCCCAAGAGCUGGAAAGGCCCAGGUGGCACGCACAGGAGCACCUCCCUCACUGGCUGCACUUGAGAGGACCCACAUAGGAGCUCGCCAACACCUGCCCUGCCUCCCUAGAGGUCUGACAUCCGCUUCCAGGGAAGACCUGAGACAGUGGGUCCCUGGAGCCAGCCCCGACUCCUGCUGCUGCACUGCCUGCUCACAACAUGGGCCCUAACGUGGAGCUGGGGG
This 569-nucleotide long non-coding RNA is filed under the name Marmota monax (woodchuck). The record is from RNAcentral. Lineage: Eukaryota; Metazoa; Chordata; Mammalia; Rodentia; Sciuridae.